RNAcentral lists this small RNA (2532 nucleotides) under Pan troglodytes (chimpanzee). RNAcentral describes it as "retained intron". Lineage: Eukaryota; Metazoa; Chordata; Mammalia; Primates; Hominidae. The record is from RNAcentral.
ACUGGGUUGCUGAUCCAGCUAUGGAGAAAGCCGCAGAUCUGCAGGACACAGACUCGUUAACUCUGAAGUUUAAGUUUAACCCGAAGCUGGGCAUUGAUAAUCCCGUCCUCUCCCUGGCCGAUGACCACGACCCCUAUGAUCCCUGGAGCCUGGAGCGGCCUCGCUUCUGUUUACUGAGCAAAGAGGAGGGCAAGAGUUUUGGCUUCCACCUGCAGCAGGAGCUGGGCAGGGCUGGGCAUAUGGUGUGCAGGGUGGACCCAGGCACCUCUGCCCAGCGCCAGGGUCUUCAGGAAGGAGACAGGAUCCUGGCGGUGAACAAUGAUGUUGUGGAACAUGAAGACUAUGCGGUGGUGGUACGCCGCAUCCGGGCCAGCAGCCCUCGGGUGUUGCUGACAGUAUUGGCACGGCAUGCACAUGACGUGGCCCGAGCUCAGCUGGGAGAAGAUGCCCACCUCUGUCCCACCCUAGGCCCAGGGGUCCGGCCCCGGCUGUGCCACAUAGUGAAAGAUGAGGGUGGUUUUGGCUUCAGUGUCACCCAUGGCAAUCAGGGUCCUUUCUGGUUGGUGCUAAGUACUGGAGGAGCAGCUGAGCGGGCAGGGGUGCCCCCCGGGGCCCGGCUGCUGGAAGUGAAUGGGGUCAGCGUGGAGAAGUUCACUCACAACCAACUCACCAGGAAGGUGUGACUGCCUGUCUCCCACUCUCCUCCCCCAAUCCGGGCCUGGGCCCCACCUCGGGAAGACGCCUCCUUCCCCAUGCGCCUAACCUCCUUAUCUGGUCUCCUACCUUUAUCACCAUCCUCCCCCUCUACAGUUUGUGCCAGGCUCCACUUAGUGCCUGGGAGGAGGGGCUGUGGGGGGAGCAUACCUCUUCUCUCCCUGCCCAGGUGUUAUACUGAUGCCCUGCUGGGUCCCCACAGCUUUGGCAGAGUGGACAGCAGGUGACCUUGCUGGUGGCAGGGCCAGAGGUGGAAGAACAGUGUCGCCAGCUGGGAUUGCCCCUGGCUGCACCCCUGGCAGAGGGCUGGGCACUGCCCACCAAGCCCCGCUGCCUGCACCUGGAGAAAGGGCCCCAGGGUUUUGGGUUCCUGCUCCGGGAGGAAAAGGGCCUUGACGGUCGCCCUGGUGAGUGGGAGCCCUGGGGGCGGUGGGGGAAGGUGGGCCUUGGGGUGGGCACACAAGCAUAUAUACACCUUUCAGUGCACCGAAGAGGUGUCCCUGUCUGAGCUCUGGCCCUGGGCUGCCUCUUCCCGUUCACUCUGGGGUCAGUCCCCUGGUGUGUACACAGUGGCCUAGGAUAGCUGGAGAGGAGCAGUGAGGAUGUCUAUGCCCCAGGACAGUUCCUGUGGGAGGUGGACCCGGGACUGCCAGCCAAGAAGGCUGGGAUGCAGGCUGGGGACCGGCUGGUGGCUGUGGCUGGGGAGAGCGUGGAGGGGCUGGGCCAUGAGGAGACGGUGUCCAGGAUCCAGGCGCAGGGCUCCUGUGUCUCCCUCACUGUCGUCGACCCUGAGGCGGACCGCUUCUUCAGCAUGGUGUGUGCUGAGGGGCAGGGGCUAGGGUUGGGGCAGGAGUGGGGCAGGGCUUGGGUCCAACAGAUUUGCUCUACCUGCCACCUGCCAGGUUCGCCUAUCCCCACUCCUCUUCUUGGAGAACACAGAGGCUCCCGCCUCGCCCCAGGGCAGCAGCUCAGCCUCACUGGUUGAGACAGAGGACCCUUCACUUGAAGACACAAGCGUGCCUUCUGUCCCUCUUGGCUCCCGACAGUGCUUCCUGUACCCUGGGCCUGGUGGCAGCUAUGGCUUCCGACUCAGUUGUGUGGCCAGUGGGCCUCGUCUCUUCAUCUCCCAGGUGACUCCAGGAGGCUCAGCUGCCCGGGCUGGGCUGCAAGUGGGAGAUGUGAUUCUGGAAGUGAACGGGUAUCCUGUUGGGGGACGGAAUGACCUGGAGAGGCUUCAGCAGCUGCCUGAGGCUGAGCCACCCCUCUGCCUGAAGCUGGCAGCCAGGUCUCUGCGGGGCUUGGAAGCCUGGAUUCCCCCUGGGGCUGCAGAGGACUGGGCUCUGGCCUCGGAUCUGCUGUAGAGCACCCCUGCUUGGUACAGACAUACUCAGGGGCUACUGUAUCUUCACUCUCCAGCCCGAGGUGGUGAAGGCAGGAUGCUCUCUCUAAGCCAGACCAGAGGGACUCAGACACCACCGAUCACAGGCUGGCCCAGGUGCUCCCUCCCUUCCUGCAGGCCCACCUGCCAGCAGAGGGUGUGGUUGGAGGCCUCAGACAGGUCCCUGAAGGAGUCUGAGGCUCCAGAGGAUGUCAUAUGGGAGUUUUGGGGAGCUGUGUCCCAAGGAUGAAGGUGUGGCUGUGGGUCUGGCUAGGAUUGAAGCCAUCUGGACCUUUUCUAGAUAUGACUCCAGGACCCUUGAGUGUAAUGCAAAAAUUUGGAGACCAGCUAUGCCUGCCCUCUGUGGGUGCCUUAGCAUUGCGGGAGGGUGGUGCUUGGUCACCGUUGCAUUUGUUAUAGAAAUGGCCGUUCCCCAUAAA